RNAcentral lists this long non-coding RNA (378 nucleotides) under Bos taurus (domestic cattle). Its description in RNAcentral is "long non-coding RNA NONBTAT025849". Lineage: Eukaryota; Metazoa; Chordata; Mammalia; Artiodactyla; Bovidae. The record is from RNAcentral.
AAUUAAGUUCAAGUUUGUUUAAGUCUUGUUUAGCAAAAUUCAGAUUAUAUCAGAGAAGCGGUGGGGGGGAGUUUAAUUUUACUAAGACACGCCAAGACUCUGGGUAUGGCUGAGAGCCAACACAUUUCUCCUGUGGCAUGUUUUAUCUUGCAUUCUUCUCACUAGUUUAAAUUAUGACCUAACUGGGCCAAAAUUGUCCAGUGAACAAAGACUUCUCAACUAAGAGAAAAUACUAAGUUUGGAAAGUUUCGUUCUCGUUCAAUAAAGAAGCUUUAAAAACAAAGUGAUCACUGGUUAAAACAUAGUAUCUUUGAGUUUCCACUAAGAUCAAUCUUGUGGCCGCUAUUUGUAUUCAAUCAACAGAGUUGACAUUGACAG